RNAcentral lists this ribosomal RNA (465 nucleotides) under uncultured bacterium. RNAcentral's name for it is "bacterial SSU rRNA". It matches the Rfam family "Bacterial small subunit ribosomal RNA", at positions 338 to 795 of the family's 1533-position model. The record is from RNAcentral.
CCUACGGGAGGCAGCAGUGGGGAAUAUUGGACAAUGGGGGAAACCCUGAUCCAGCAACGCCGCGUGGGGGAUGAAGGUCUUCGGAUUGUAAACCCCUGUUGAGAGGGACGAAGGCUUGAAGGCAAACAGUCUUCAAGCUUGACGGUACCUCGAGAGGAAGCCCCGGCUAACUCUGUGCCAGCAGCCGCGGUAAUACAGAGGGGGCGAGCGUUAUUCGGAAUUAUUGGGCGUAAAGGGCGCGUAGGCGGCCGCGCAAGUCUCGGGUGAAAUCCCUCGGCUCAACCGAGGAACUGCCCUGGAACCUGCGCGGCUCGAGGCCGGGAGAGGAUGGUGGAAUUCCCAGUGUAGCGGUGAAAUGCGUAGAUAUUGGGAGGAACACCGGUGGCGAAGGCGGCCAUCUGGACCGGUCCUGACGCUGAGGCGCGAAAGCGUGGGGAGCAAACAGGAUUAGAUACCCCAGUANUC